ACUGAAUGUUCUUCACGAAGCAGGGCUACUGCCAUUCUGCACAGAUAUGGGUGAUUGGAAUACUGACGUUAUUCUUCAGUUCUAUGCCACACUGCAUAUCUCAGGAGCCCCCAAAGACAUCAACACUUGGGUCUUGGACUGAAUGACACACCACACUCACUACAAACUCCGGCCACAGAAUUGCUUUGAGCUCUUCCAAUCUCAAUUCCUUCAGAAGAUGCAGUCAGAAUGUAUGAUGAAAGGGAACUGCCAAAUAAGCUCAUGGAAGUCCUCAUGAAACCUUUGGCUCUGGACGAACCUCCAGGAACUAGAUUCCUGGUGAAGGAUUUGAAGUAUGAGCCCAGAACUGUCUACAGAAUUUUGACAUAUUCCAUCGCACCUAUCAAAGGGCAUGACAAAGAAGAAGAUGUUGUAGGCACCAUGAAGAAUACCCUAUUCAACGUCAUUCAUGGCAUCCCAAUGAACCUUCACGAUUUCUUCUUGAGGACUUUGGUCGAUGAUGCUUUAUCACCAUUUGAGCUGAAGAUUUAUUCGCCUUGGAUCAUGA
This 547-nucleotide long non-coding RNA is filed under the name Hordeum vulgare. Its description in RNAcentral is "long non-coding RNA (HVUL_LNC003217)". Lineage: Eukaryota; Viridiplantae; Streptophyta; Magnoliopsida; Poales; Poaceae. The record is from RNAcentral.